AAAGCCGCGAGGCAGAGCAAAACCCUAAAAAAUGGUCUCAGUUCGGAUCGUAGGCUGCAACCCGCCUGCGUGAAGUUGGAAUUGCUAGUAAUCGCGGAUCAGCAUGCCGCGGUGAAUACGUUCCCGGGCCUUGUACACACCGCCCGUCACACCAUGGGAGCCGGUAAUGCCCGAAGUCAGUAGCCUAACCGCAAGGAGGGCGCUGCCGAAGGUAGGAUUGGCGACUGGGGUGAAGUCGUAACAAGGUAGC
This 250-nucleotide ribosomal RNA is filed under the name uncultured bacterium. Its description in RNAcentral is "partial 16S ribosomal RNA". It matches the Rfam family "Bacterial small subunit ribosomal RNA", at positions 1251 to 1500 of the family's 1533-position model. The record is from RNAcentral.